This 496-nucleotide ribosomal RNA is filed under the name uncultured bacterium. RNAcentral describes it as "bacterial SSU rRNA". It matches the Rfam family "Bacterial small subunit ribosomal RNA", at positions 28 to 451 of the family's 1533-position model. The record is from RNAcentral.
GAUGAACGCUGGCGGCGUGCCUAAAACAUGCAAGUCGAGCGGUAAGGCUCUGCACUUAGUGUUUGAUCGAAGUAAUUUAUUACUACAGUAGACCAAUUGGAACCUUGGCGGGUGAAGAGCGGAAUAGGAAGAUCGAAUUAUAAGUGUAGAGUACACGAGCGGCGGACGGGUGAGUAACACGUGGGAAUCUACCCCAAACUGAGGGAUAAGCACCGGAAACGGUGUCUAAUACCGCAUAUGGUCUUCGGAUUAAAGCUUCGGCGGUUUGGGAAGAGCCCGCGUAAGAUUAGCUAGUUGGUGAGGUAAAGGCUCACCAAGGCGACGAUCUUUAGCUGGUUUGAGAGGAUGAUCAGCCACACUGGAACUGAGACACGGUCCAGACUCCUACGGGAGGCAGCAGUUAGGAAUUUUCCACAAUGGGCGCAAGCCUGAUGGAGCAACGCCGCGUGCAGGAUGAAGGUUUUCGGAUUGUAAACUGCUUUAUGUGUGAAGAAUA